GACGAACGCUGGCGGCGUGCCUAAUACAUGCAAGUGGAACGCUGAAGGAGGAGCUUGCUUCUCUGGAUGAGUUGCGAACGGGUGAGUAACGCGUAGGUAACCUGCCUGGUAGCGGGGGAUAACUAUUGGAAACGAUAGCUAAUACCGCAUAAUAGUAGAUGUUGCAUGACAUUUGCUUAAAAGGUGCAAUUGCAUCACUACCAGAUGGACCUGCGUUGUAUUAGCUAGUUGGUGAGGUAACGGCUCACCAAGGCAACGAUACAUAGCCGACCUGAGAGGGUGAUCGGCCACACUGGGACUGAGACACGGCCCAGACUCCUACGGGAGGCAGCAGUAGGGAAUCUUCGGCAAUGGACGGAAGUCUGACCGAGCAACGCCGCGUGAGUGAAGAAGGUUUUCGGAUCGUAAAGCUCUGUUGUAAGAGAAGAACGAGUGUGAGAGUGGAAAGUUCACACUGUGACGGUAUCUUACCAGAAAGGGACGGCUAACUACGU
RNAcentral lists this ribosomal RNA (494 nucleotides) under uncultured bacterium. RNAcentral's name for it is "partial 16S ribosomal RNA". It matches the Rfam family "Bacterial small subunit ribosomal RNA", at positions 28 to 506 of the family's 1533-position model. The record is from RNAcentral.